AACGAACGCUGGCGGCAGGCCUAACACAUGCAAGUCGAACGAAGUCUUCGGACUUAGUGGCGCACGGGUGAGUAACACGUGGGAAUAUACCUUACGCUGGGGGAUAACAUCGGGAAACUGAUGCUAAUACCGCAUACGCCCUUCGGGGGAAAGAUUUAUCGGCGAAAGAUUAGCCCGCGUCCGAUUAGCUAGUUGGUGAGGUAAUGGCUCACCAAGGCUCCGAUCGGUAGCUGGUCUGAGAGGAUGACCAGCCACACUGGGACUGAGACACGGCCCAGACUCCUACGGGAGGCAGCAGUGGGGAAUAUCGGGCAAUGGGCGCAAGCCUGAUCCAGCCAUGCCGCGUGAGUGAUGAAGGCCUUAGGGUUGUAAAGCUCUUUCACCCACGACGAUGAUGACGGUAGUGGGAGAAGAAGCCCCGGCUAACUUCGUG
Molecule: ribosomal RNA, 433 nt
Filed under: uncultured bacterium
Lineage: Bacteria
Description: partial 16S ribosomal RNA
Rfam family: Bacterial small subunit ribosomal RNA
Source: RNAcentral